CAAGGCGACGAUCAGUAGGGGUUCUGAGAGGAAGGUCCCCCACAUUGGAACUGAGACACGGUCCAAACUCCUACGGGAGGCAGCAGUGAGGAAUAUUGGUCAAUGGACGAGAGUCUGAACCAGCCAAGUAGCGUGCAGGAUGACGGCCCUAUGGGUUGUAAACUGCUUUUAUAAGGGAAUAAAGUGAGCCUCGUGAGGCUUUUUGCAUGUACCUUAUGAAUAAGGACCGGCUAAUUCCGUGCCAGCAGCCGCGGUAAUACGGAAGGUCCGGGCGUUAUCCGGAUUUAUUGGGUUUAAAGGGAGCGUAGGCCGGAGAUUAAGCGUGUUGUGAAAUGUAGACGCUCAACGUCUGCACUGCAGCGCGAACUGGUUUCCUUGAGUACGCACAAAGUGGGCGGAAUUCGUGGUGUAGCGGUGAAAUGCUUAGAUAUCACGAAGAACUCCGAUUGCGAAGGCAGCUCACUGGAGCGCAACUGACGCUGAAGCUCGAAAGUGCGGGUAUCGAACAGGAUUAGAUACCCUGGUAGUCCGCACGGUAAACGAUGGAUGCCCGCUGUUGGUCUGAAUAGGUCAGCGGCCAAGCGAAAGCAUUAAGCAUCCCACCUGGGG
RNAcentral lists this ribosomal RNA (609 nucleotides) under uncultured bacterium. RNAcentral describes it as "bacterial SSU rRNA". It matches the Rfam family "Bacterial small subunit ribosomal RNA", at positions 269 to 878 of the family's 1533-position model. The record is from RNAcentral.